GUACAUCUGUAACCCCCCCUCAAUCAGAGUGCAUGGUCCAUCCCACCCCGCUCUCUGCCACCGUCUACAUCAGCUGUGUAUGUUGUGUCCUCUUGGCGGCGCUGAUGAGCUGGAUUCAGGUUUACGUCAAUCGACUCCGACGGUUCAUCGCCGCCUUCUUCAACCCCGAGAUAGAGAAGAAGCGAGUGUUGUACCUGUACAAACUGCAGAAGAGCAGACGGCUUCACUGCAAGGACAAACGGCGCUCACGCAAAACCAGGACGGUGUUCCAGAGAUUCAACAGAUGGUGUUGCCGUCUUUGCCAGAAGGAAUCCGACCAAGAGACGUACUACGCUCCCGGUUAGAGGAACAAAGUAUAAUUUGACGUCAUUAUUUUAGUUUCAUUUUUGGUCUAAUUUAAGUUCUAAUGUCUUAGUCUUUUUAAAGAGAGUUUAAGUGUAACAUAGAUUCAGUUGUCUGAACUUUGACUGCUUUUAGCCUCAGCUUAUGGUAGUUUUUGACAGCCGAAGAACUAUUGCUGACAAAAACGACGGGGAAAAAUGAUCAGUUAACUAAGUUCAACCAAGGUUGUUGUCAGUUUUUAUUUUGACCCCA
This 594-nucleotide long non-coding RNA is filed under the name Gouania willdenowi (blunt-snouted clingfish). RNAcentral describes it as "lncRNA (ENSGWIG00000009091.1)". Lineage: Eukaryota; Metazoa; Chordata; Actinopteri; Blenniiformes; Gobiesocidae. The record is from RNAcentral.